GACGAACGCUGGCGGCGUGCUUAACACAUGCAAGUCGAGCGGUAAGGCCCUUUCGGGGGUACACGAGCGGCGAACGGGUGAGUAACACGUGGGUGACCUGCCUUUAGCUCUGGGAUAAGCCUGGGAAACUGGGUCUAAUACCGGAUAUGACUCCGCGGUGCAUGCUGUGGGGUGGAAAGCCUUGUGCGGCUGGAGAUGGGCCCGCGGCCUAUCAGCUUGUUGGUGGGGUGAUGGCCUACCAAGGCGACGACGGGUAGCCGGCCUGAGAGGGCGACCGGCCACACUGGGACUGAGACACGGCCCAGACUCCUACGGGAGGCAGCAGUGGGGAAUCUUGCGCAAUGGGCAAAGCCUGACGCAGCGACGCCGCGUGAGGGAUGACGGCCU
This 387-nucleotide ribosomal RNA is filed under the name uncultured bacterium. RNAcentral's name for it is "bacterial SSU rRNA". It matches the Rfam family "Bacterial small subunit ribosomal RNA", at positions 28 to 417 of the family's 1533-position model. The record is from RNAcentral.